UAGUCCACGCCGUAAACGAUGAGUACUAGUUAUAGGGCACGAUAGUGUUCUGUGACGUAGCUAACGCAUUAAGUACUCCGCCUGGGGAUUACGGUCGCAAGACUAAAAACUCAAAGGAAUUGACGGGGGCCCGCACAAGCGGUGGAUUAUGUGGUUUAAUUCGAAGAAACGCGCAAAACCUUACCCGGGUUUGAAAUCCUGAGAAUCUACCAGAGAUGGUGGAGUGUCCUUCGGGAGACUCAGAGACAGGUGCUGCAUGGCUGUCGUCAGCUCGUGUUGUGAAAUGUUGGGUUAAGUCUCGCAACGAGCGCAACCCCUAUCUUUAGUUGCCAGCAUUCAGUUGGGCACUCUAGAGAGACUGCCUAGGUUAACUAGGAGGAAGGUGGGGAGUGACGUCAAGUCCUCAUGGCCCUUAUAUCCGGGGCUACACACGUAAUACAAUGGACGGUACAGAGGGAUGCGACCUUGUGAAAGUGAGCAAAUCUCAAAAAACCGUUCUACAGUCCGGAUUGAAGUCUGCAACUCG
Molecule: ribosomal RNA, 526 nt
Filed under: uncultured bacterium
Lineage: Bacteria
Description: bacterial SSU rRNA
Rfam family: Bacterial small subunit ribosomal RNA
Source: RNAcentral